UACGAAGGGGGCUAGCGUUGUUCGGAUUUACUGGGCGUAAAGCGCACGUAGGCGAUUGUUAAGUCAGGGGUGAAAUCCUGGAGCUCAACUCCAGAACUGCCUUUGAUACUGGCAAUCUCGAGUCCGGAAGAGGUAAGUGGAACUCCUAGUGUAGAGGUGGAAUUCGUAGAUAUUAGGAAGAACACCAGUGGCGAAGGCGGCUUACUGGUCCGGAACUGACGCUGAGGUGCGAAAGCGUGGGGAGCAAACAGG
Molecule: ribosomal RNA, 252 nt
Filed under: uncultured bacterium
Lineage: Bacteria
Description: partial 16S ribosomal RNA
Rfam family: Bacterial small subunit ribosomal RNA
Source: RNAcentral